CACACACACUCAUGCAAGCAGCUAUGGGCUUACCUAAAAAAUUAUUUGAAAAAAUAUUCACUCUGUUUGUGUCUAUUUUACGUUAUAGGUGCUGUGAGAAAAUGCGGCUCCACCAGAUCCGCCA
Sphaeramia orbicularis (orbiculate cardinalfish) is the source of this 124-nucleotide long non-coding RNA. RefSeq lists it as uncharacterized. The transcript is spliced from 3 exons. The record is from RefSeq and is a predicted model, not a curated record. NCBI's taxonomy places the organism in Eukaryota, Metazoa, Chordata, Actinopteri, Kurtiformes, Apogonidae.